CGCGGAGUGGAGCAGUUGGUAGCUCGUCGGGCUCAUAACCCGAAGGUCGUAGGUUCAAGUCCUACCUCCGCUACUA
Molecule: transfer RNA, 76 nt
Filed under: Bacteroidota bacterium
Lineage: Bacteria; Pseudomonadati; Bacteroidota
Description: Bacteroidetes bacterium tRNA-Met
Rfam family: tRNA
About the family: Transfer RNA (tRNA) molecules are approximately 80 nucleotides in length.
Source: RNAcentral